This is a long non-coding RNA of Phyllopteryx taeniolatus (common seadragon), 2531 nucleotides long. RefSeq lists it as uncharacterized. The transcript has 3 exons. NCBI's taxonomy places the organism in Eukaryota, Metazoa, Chordata, Actinopteri, Syngnathiformes, Syngnathidae. The record is from RefSeq and is a predicted model, not a curated record.
AAGCGGAACUUCUCGAUCCCUUUAACUGUGGCACAAUGACAGUCAGAUGUCUGUGUAGACAUCUCUGUGCGGAAGAGGAUGAAGCGGUAGAGGACGAUGCGUAUUCGCAGCAAUCUGUGUGAGUGGAUCAUUGUCACUGCUCUUGGCCGGUGUGGCAACAGAGCUGGUGCCCUUAAUAAAUACAGACUGACGUGGUGAUAAUGACUGGUGACUUAAAUGUGUCCAUGGACCUUAGUAUCUGUCUGCCUGUUCCCCGAUCAAAUUUAUCAUAUUAUAUGGUUAGACCAGCAGUCUACAGUGUGCCAGUAUUUAGACAUGGUGUGAGCAGGCAUGAGUUUAGACCGACUAUUUACAACCAAAUUGUCACUUCUUUAGGCGUAUCUCCAAGGACACACCCUUGCUGUGCCGGAAUGCCCAUCUUGGGGCAGACUGGUCCGCCAAAUUGCGCAGUAAGUCUUACACUUGCACUGAAAUGAGAAUCCAGUGGCAUUUGGGCCCCACCACAGCUGCGAUGUCUGCAAAAAUAGAGCCCUCAAGAGUUGUCUGAAGCUUGCUUGCGUUGUCCUUCUGACUCUUCCUGUGUCAUGUUCUGCUCAUUUCGUGCUCACCCUUUUAUUUUGACGAUCCAAUUCCUGUGACCAAUUUCUUUUGCCUCAGCUUUACAUGCCUCACUAGGACCUCAUUGCUUUCACCUGUUACUUGCUAUAUUUAACCAGCCCUUCACCUCAGUGCCAAAUUGUCACUUGCCGUUGCGGUACUCUCUAGCCUUUUGACCGUGAACCUGUUUCUGGCCCAAGCUGUUCUCUGACGCUGCUUGGCACGUGACUGGAUUUUACCUGUCUCCUCCAGCGGACCUGUUAUCCUCAACCCUUGCUAAAGCGCCACAUCACCCUCUGCCACACCUAAUUGGUUACAAGGAAGCCUCCCUCCAGUGAUAGUAAGGCCUGAACUCCAUCCACCACUUGGGCCCCACUGGCAUUAAAGAAAUCUUACGCUGACACUUGGCCAAUUAAAAACUUUUAAUUUCUCUUGUGGUGCUGUGUUUUGCAUUAGAGUCCAAACCGGUAUUGUGACACUCUCCUGUCUAAGGUCAAGAGCAGGCUUUCAUCCAGGAUGUCUCUGUAUAUUGCAUUCAUCGCUUCCUCCAUCCUGAUUAGUCUCCCAGUUCUUGCUGUUGAAAAUAAUUCCCACAGCAUGAUGCUGCCACCACCAUGGUUCACAGUAGGGAUGGUAUUGGCCAGGUGAUGAGCGGAGCAUAGUUUCCUCCAUAGAUCAACUUUGGAAUUAAUGCCAAAGACUUAAAUCUUUGCCUCCUCAAACCAGAGAAUUUUGUCUCUCAUGCUCUGAGAGCCUUGGGCAAAGUACACGUGGGCCGACAUGUACCUUUCACUCAGGAGUGGCUUCCGUCUGGCCACUCGACCAUAAAAGCCUAAUUGUUGGAUUGUUGAAGAGAUGGUUGUCCUUCUGGAAAAGUUAUCCUCUUUCCACAGAGGAAUGCUGGAGCUCUCACCGUGACAAUCCGGUUACCUCCCGCACCAAGAACCUUCUCCCCCAAUCACUUAAGUGUCGACAGGUGGGCAGCUUUCAGAAGAGUCCUCCAUUCACGGAUAAUGAAUGUGCUCAUUGGCAGCUUCAAAACCACAGGCAUUUUUGUAAACCAUUUGCCAGAACUGUCCCUUGUGGAAGUUUACAAUUUGUUUGACUUCAUGCUUGGUUGGUUUGUCAACUGUGGGAUGUCUUAUAUAGACAGGUGUGGACCUUUUACAUUUUGUCCAAUCAAUUGAAUUUAACAAAGGUCGAUUUCAAUUAAACUGUCAAAAGAUCCCAAGGAUGAUCAGCAGAAACAGGAUGCACCAGAGGUCAAUUUUGAUGGCUACUUAUGUAGUUGCGUAUGUGAUUUCUCUUUUUGUUCGGCACUUGCAAAAUCUUUUUUCAUACUGUCACUAUGAGUUGAACAAAUGCAUAAUGAAUCAAUUUUCAAACAAGGCUGUAAAAUAAAAAGUGAACCACUGUGAAUAAUUUCUGGAUGUGCUUUCCAUCAUCACUCACUGCAUGUCAGAAUAUACAGUAUGUUAAAAGAUUAAAAUAGAAUGUAAUAAAAAUAAAUGAAAGAAGACUAAAUACCUACUAUUUGUAGCUGGGCAAUGAAAAAUAAGCAUGUCAGGUUCUGAAAACUCAGCUGUUGGUGUACUGGGUUGAUUGUGAAAAUGCAAUUAAAAUCCAGUCUUCAAUGUCUUUUGAUUGAAUGUAAUUAAAUUAUCCAACAGAAGAAAAACAAAUUACCAGCCCUUUUGAAACAUAUUAAAGCCUGGAAAAUAAUAGCUCACUUGACUCAAAGAAGUCACAUUAUAUCGUUUGAUUACAUUUUAAUCUGUUGACCAUAUGUUCUGCUAUUAAGUGCUAAGAACGUGUUUAAAAAUAACAAACAAAUUCAAAGUUAAAUGCUUUUCACUGGAGAGCAAAGAUAUGUAAAGGUAUCAUAGUUGUUGAACAAAACAAUCAGGUUCCGAUAACAAGGUCAGCGUAAAUUA